UACCAGCACCCCGAGUGGUCGGGACGAUUAUUGGGCCUAAAGCAUCCGUAGCCGGUUCUACAAGUCUUCCGUUAAAUCCACCUGCUUAACAGAUGGGCUGCAGAGGAUACUAUAGAGCUAGGAGGCGGGAGAGGCAAGCGGUACUUAGUGGGUAGGGGUAAAAUCCGUUGAUCCAUUGAAGACCACCAGUGGCGAAGGCGGCUUGCCAGAACGCACUCGACGGUGAGGGAUGAAAGCUGGGGGAGCAAACCGG
RNAcentral lists this ribosomal RNA (253 nucleotides) under uncultured bacterium. Its description in RNAcentral is "partial 16S ribosomal RNA". It matches the Rfam family "Archaeal small subunit ribosomal RNA", at positions 474 to 727 of the family's 1478-position model. The record is from RNAcentral.